RNAcentral lists this ribosomal RNA (433 nucleotides) under uncultured bacterium. Its description in RNAcentral is "partial 16S ribosomal RNA". It matches the Rfam family "Bacterial small subunit ribosomal RNA", at positions 29 to 507 of the family's 1533-position model. The record is from RNAcentral.
AACGAACGCUGGCGGCAUGCCUAACACAUGCAAGUCGAACGAGACAUUCGGGUCUGGUGGCGCACGGGUGCGUAACGCGUGGGAACCUGCCCUUAGGUUCGGAAUAACUCCCCGAAAGGGGUGCUAAUACCGGAUAAUGUCUUCGGACCGAAGGUUUAUCGCGUUUGGGUGGGCCUGCGUUGGAUUGGCUAGUUGGUAGGGUAAAAGGCUACCAAGGCGACGAUCCAUAGCUGGUCUGAGAGGAAGAGCAGCCACACUGGGACUGAGACACGGUCCAGACUCCUACGGGAGGCAGCAGAGGGGAAUAUUGGACAAUGGGCGAAAUGCUGAUCCAGCUAUGCCGCGUGAGUGAUGAAGGCCUUAGGGAUGUAAAGCUCUUUUACCCGGGAUGAUAAUGACGGUACCGGGAGAAUAAGCGCCGGCUAACUCCGUG